UGUAGUCCUGGGGCAAGCACGUAGCUAGUCGCUGUAGGGAAAUCCGCAGCGGCGUUUUGACGCGAGGUGCGAUGCCAGCUGGCUUGACCGCCGGCCAGUCCCCGAUCCCAUGCCUCCAAGAAAAGCCCCUAGGCAGGAUUCGCGUGCCCGUACCGAUAACCGACACAGGCGGACAAGUAGAACAUACUGAGGUGAGCGAGCUAACUAUCGUUAAGGAACUCGGCAAAAUCGUCCCGUAACUUCGGGAGAAGGGACGCCCCGUUAGGGUGAACUCCAUACGGAGGGAGCCUGAGGGGGCCGCAGUGAAUUGGUCCAAGCGACUGUUUACCAAAAACACAGGCCUCUGCUAAGUCGUAAGACGACGUAUAGGGGCUGACGCCUGCCCGGUGCCGGAAGGUUACGCGGACUUGUUAGCGCUUCGGCGCGAAGCAGCGAAGCUAAGCCCCGGUAAACGGCGGCCGUAACUAUAACGGUCCUAAGGUAGCGAAAUUCCUUGUCGGGUAAGUUCCGACCUGCACGAAUGGCGUAACGACUUGGACGCUGUCUCAACGAUAGGCUCGGUGAAAUUAAAGUCUCGGUGAAGAUGCCGAGUACCCGCAGCUAGACGGAAAGACCCCGUGAACCUUUACUGCAACUUGAUAUUGGAGUCUGGGGUAUCUCGCUCAGGAUAGGUGGGAGACAGUGAACCGGCGACUUUGGUUGUCGGGGAGUCACCCUUGAGAUACCACCCUUGGUAGUCUGGGCUUCUAACACCGCGCCGUAAUCCGGGCGGUGAACAGUGUCAGGUGGGCAGUUUGACUGGGGCGGUCGCCUCCUAAAGAGUAACGGAGGCGCCCAAAGGUUCCCUCAGCACGGUUGGAAAUCGUGCGUAGAGUGUAAAGGCAACAAGGGAGCUUGACUGCGAGACCGACGGGUCGAGCAGGAACGAAAGUUGGGCUUAGUGAUCCGGCGGUAGCAAGUGGAAGCGCCGUCGCUCAACGGAUAAAAGGUACUCCGGGGAUAACAGGCUUAUCGGUUCCAAGAGUCCACAUCGACGAACCGGUUUGGCACCUCGAUGUCGGCUCGUCGCAUCCUGGGGCUGGAGUAGGUCCCAAAGCUUGGGCUGUUCGCCCAUUAAAGCGGUACGCGAGCUGGGUUCAGAACGUCGUGAGACAGUUCGGUCCCUAUCUGCUGUGGGCGUUGGAGAGUUGAGAGGAGUCAUCCCUAGUACGAGAGGACCGGGAUGAACGUGCCGCUGGUGUAUCUGUUGUCCUGCCAAGGGCAUCGCAGGUUAGCUACGCACGGGACGGAUAACCGCUGAAAGCAUCUAAGCGGGAAGCCGUCCUCGAGAUGAACUCUCCCAUCCCCUUGAGGGAGUAAGACCCCUGGUAGACCACCAGGUUGAUAGGCCGGCGGUGUAAGCGCAGUAAUGCGUUCAGCCGACCGGUACUAACGGGUCGAGGGCUUGAGGGA
RNAcentral lists this ribosomal RNA (1452 nucleotides) under metagenome. RNAcentral's name for it is "bacterial LSU rRNA". It matches the Rfam family "Bacterial large subunit ribosomal RNA", at positions 1500 to 2925 of the family's 2925-position model. The record is from RNAcentral.